UAGUGGGUUUAACACCAUCGAAGGAGGAUCCUGGAAAGACAUGGCUGAAGACAUGUUUCUGGGGAGUUCAUUUUCACCUGUAAUCCCUGCCCAGUGAGAAUUUUUUCUGCUACUGAUCUCCUGGGAAGUAUUUGGAGACCACAGAAAAUGAGACAUAUCAGCUUCUUCACAAAAGAGUCCUGGACUGCUAAGGUCACUUAACCCCAGGCCUCAAAUCAUGGCAGCUAGCACUGGGAAACAUCUCAGAAAUCACCUAAUCCAGUCUUCUACAGGGAGAAGUUUCUUCUUAAUAAAAUGAGAUGUGAUGCUCAGAUCUCCCCUCAAGAAAGGACGUGCUACCAGCUGCAAGACUUGCUACCCAGCUGUGGCUAGCUGAUAGCCUCGUUAUUGGCUUUGUCAGAGUUUACCUCAACUUUCUGGCCAGGUGAGGUGAUCCCCAGCCAAUUACCUGACAAUGCAGUGGGACAGUGGUCUAGCCAUUUCUGCCUAACAUACCACUCUAUCAGGGAGUCUCUGCUCCGAAGCUCCCACUAGGCUGACAGCAACUUUGUCAACUCUGCAUCACUGUCUGACAGUUUCCCCUAAUUCUGCACCCUUCCUUCUCCUUUCGCUGGAGUUAAGCUCUACUAAAACAUUUUGCACUUCUAGCUACAUUUUAGUAUCCUCUCCCUGGGGGGAUCUUUCCUGUGACAAAAACAAAGAUUCAUUUAUUUCCAAUUUAAUCUGUAAACUUAAUCUCUCACCUAUUUAACCUCUUUUAUGUUAAUAAUGCUUGGCACGCUUUCCCUCAGACUGUGACAUUUUGGUUUCAUGUUCCCAAAACAUUUUAAACCUAGUACAAUGAGUUUGUUUCUUCCCAUAAUCAUUGUGCUUUUACCAGCAAAACAUUUUACACAUUGAUUUAAAAGUUUGUAUUAUUGAUAUUCUAAAAUAUAAUUAUUUUAAAUAUAUUUCACUUUAUUUGGUAAAGAUACGUGUAUUAUUCCCCCCAAAAGCCUUAAGAGCUUUGAAACAGAAAAAAAACAACAAACCUUAACAGCACCAUCUUAUGGUACUUAACUAGGAACUGUUCACUGCUCAAUCAAUAUGACAAAAAGCAGACUUUUGAAGCC
RNAcentral lists this long non-coding RNA (1112 nucleotides) under Homo sapiens (human). RNAcentral describes it as "HSALNT0076034". The record is from RNAcentral. Lineage: Eukaryota; Metazoa; Chordata; Mammalia; Primates; Hominidae.